This 253-nucleotide ribosomal RNA is filed under the name uncultured bacterium. RNAcentral's name for it is "partial 16S ribosomal RNA". It matches the Rfam family "Bacterial small subunit ribosomal RNA", at positions 524 to 776 of the family's 1533-position model. The record is from RNAcentral.
GACCGAGGGUGCAAACGUUGUUCGGAAUUACUGGGCGUAAAGCGCGUGUAGGCUGCUCUGCAAGUCGGAUGUGAAAGCCCUGGGCUCAACCUAGGAAGUGCACUCGAAACUGCGGAGCUUGAGUCUCGGAGAGGAUCGCGGAAUUCUCGGUGUAGAGGUGAAAUUCGUAGAUAUCGAGAGGAACACCGGUGGCGAAGGCGGCGAUCUGGACGAUGACUGACGCUGAGACGCGAAAGCGUGGGGAGCAAACAGG